UAAUCAGAGGAUCCAAGCUCCGACUCUCCAGAUUCCGAUCCAGGAUCCGAAACCGGUCCUUGAUUCUCAACCAGAACCUCGCUGCCGAUGAAGACUCUGCUGGUUCCGCCGCCGCCGCCUAAACUAUUAAAAAAUCAAAAAUCAGAUUCGAAACCAAAAAAAAAAAGAAAGAAACUCAGAUUCGGACAAGAACAAACAUACAAAUUCAAUAGCGGCAUCGAUCUUAACCUUAGGUCGCUUGGUAGGGGGUGGAGAUGAUGAAGACGGUUCAGGGGAUAAAGAAGAAGAACAGAAACGCUUGAAAGCCGAAGAGCUACGUCUCGUCUCCACGAUAUCCCAA
This 340-nucleotide long non-coding RNA is filed under the name Brassica napus (rape). RNAcentral describes it as "long non-coding RNA (BNAP_LNC004711)". The record is from RNAcentral. Lineage: Eukaryota; Viridiplantae; Streptophyta; Magnoliopsida; Brassicales; Brassicaceae.